This 400-nucleotide ribosomal RNA is filed under the name uncultured bacterium. Its description in RNAcentral is "bacterial SSU rRNA". It matches the Rfam family "Bacterial small subunit ribosomal RNA", at positions 359 to 776 of the family's 1533-position model. The record is from RNAcentral.
GAAUAUUGGACAAUGGGCGCAAGCCUGAUCCAGCAAUGCCGCGUGGGUGAUGAAGGCCUUCGGGUUGUAAAGCCCUUUCGGCGGGGACGAUGAUGACGGUACCCGCAGAAGCAGCCCCGGCUCACUUCGUGCCAGCAGCCGCGGUAAUACGAAGGGGGCUAGCGUUGUUCGGAAUGACUGGGCGUAAAGGGCGCGUAGGCGGCGAUUUUAGUCAGGCGUGAAAGCCCUGGGCUCAACCUAGGAACUGCGUUUGAUACUGGAUCGCUUGAGUGUGGGAGAGGAUGGUGGAAUUCCCAGUGUAGAGGUGAAAUUCGUAGAUAUUGGGAAGAACACCGGUGGCGAAGGCGGCCAUCUGGACCACUACUGACGCUGAGGCGCGAAAGCGUGGGGAGCAAACAGG